UGGCGGACGGGUGAGUAAUGUCUGGGAAACUGCCCGAUGGAGGGGGAUAACUACUGGAAACGGUAGCUAAUACCGCAUAACGUCGCAAGACCAAAGAGGGGGACCUUAGGGCCUCUUGCCAUCGGAUGUGCCCAGAUGGGAUUAGCUAGUAGGUGGGGUAAUGGCUCACCUAGGCGACGAUCCCUAGCUGGUCUGGGAGGAUGACCAGCCACACUGGAACUGAGACACGGUCCAG
This 235-nucleotide ribosomal RNA is filed under the name uncultured bacterium. RNAcentral's name for it is "partial 16S ribosomal RNA". It matches the Rfam family "Bacterial small subunit ribosomal RNA", at positions 96 to 334 of the family's 1533-position model. The record is from RNAcentral.